RNAcentral lists this ribosomal RNA (468 nucleotides) under uncultured bacterium. Its description in RNAcentral is "partial 16S ribosomal RNA". It matches the Rfam family "Bacterial small subunit ribosomal RNA", at positions 28 to 507 of the family's 1533-position model. The record is from RNAcentral.
GACGAACGCUGGCGGCGUGCUUAACACAUGCAAGUCGAACGGAAAGGCCCUGCUUUUGUGGGGUGCUCGAGUGGCGAACGGGUGAGUAACACGUGAGUAACCUGCCCUUGACUUUGGGAUAACUUCAGGAAACUGGGGCUAAUACCGGAUAGGAGCUCCUGCUGCAUGGUGGGGGUUGGAAAGUUUCGGCGGUUGGGGAUGGACUCGCGGCUCAUCAGCUUGUUGGUGGGGUAGUGGCUUACCAAGGCUUGGACGGGUAGCCGACCUGAGAGGGUGACCGGCCACAUUGGGACUGAGAUGCGGCCCAGACUCCUACGGGAGGCAGCAGUGGAGAAUAUUGCACAAUGAGCGGAAGCCUGAUGCAGCAACGCCGCGUGCGGGAUGACGGCCUUCGGGUUGUAAACCGCUUUCGCCUGUGACGAAGCGUGAGUGACGGUAAUGGGUAAAGAAGCACCGGCUAACUACGUG